AUCCUAGUGCACGGGUUUCACACGUAUCAGUGAGGAAUUAUCCGAGAUCGUGUUUUGCUAGUUGAAAACUAUGCAUCCCCC
Molecule: small nuclear RNA, 81 nt
Filed under: Penicillium decumbens
Lineage: Eukaryota; Fungi; Ascomycota; Eurotiomycetes; Eurotiales; Aspergillaceae
Description: U4 spliceosomal RNA
Rfam family: U4 spliceosomal RNA
About the family: U4 small nuclear RNA (U4 snRNA) is a component of the major U2-dependent spliceosome. The structure of U4 snRNA from yeast and human has been reported.
Source: Rfam by way of RNAcentral